This 86-nucleotide transfer RNA is filed under the name Deinococcus soli (ex Cha et al. 2016). Its description in RNAcentral is "tRNA-Thr". Lineage: Bacteria; Thermotogati; Deinococcota; Deinococci; Deinococcales; Deinococcaceae. The record is from RNAcentral.
ACGUGCGCAGUGCGGCGUGGUCGGCGGGGGUGACGCCGCGGGCGAGGAUGUCGCGCACGGCCUGGUUGGCCUUCAGGCGCGCGUCC